RNAcentral lists this ribosomal RNA (667 nucleotides) under Paenibacillus alginolyticus. RNAcentral's name for it is "bacterial SSU rRNA". It matches the Rfam family "Bacterial small subunit ribosomal RNA", at positions 42 to 692 of the family's 1533-position model. Lineage: Bacteria; Bacillati; Bacillota; Bacilli; Caryophanales; Paenibacillaceae. The record is from RNAcentral.
GCGUGCCUAUACAUGCAUUCCCGAGCGGAUUUAUCCUUCGGGAUAAGUUUCCCGGCGGACGGGUGAGUAACACGUAGGUAACCUCGCCUAUAAGAUCGGGAUAACUAUCGGAAACGAUAGCUAAGACCGGAUAAUUGGUUUUCUCGCAUGAGAGAAUUAUGAAACACGGAGCAAUCUGUGGCUUAUAGAUGGGCCUGCGGCGCAUUAGCUAGUUGGUAGGGUAACGGCCUACCAAGGCGACGAUGCGUAGCCGACCUGAGAGGGUGAACGGCCACACUGGGACUGAGACACGGCCCAGACUCCUACGGGAGGCAGCAGUAGGGAAUCUUCCGCAAUGGACGCAAGUCUGACGGAGCAACGCCGCGUGAGUGAUGAAGGUUUUCGGAUCGUAAAGCUCUGUUGCCCUAGACGAACAGCAAGAAGAGUAACUGCCUUUUGUGUGACGGUAUAGGAGAAGAAAGCCCCGGCUAACUACGUGCCAGCAGCCGCGGUAAUACGUAGGGGGCAAGCGUUGUCCGGAAUUAUUGGGCGUAAAGCGCGCGCAGGCGGUCAAUUAAGUUGGGUGUUUAAGCCCCGGGGCUCAACCCCGGUUCGCAUCCCGAAACCUGGUUGACUUUGAGUGUAGGAGAGGAAAGUUGAAUUCCCCGUGGUAGCGGUGAAAUGCGUA